UGGGGAAUAUUGGACAAUGGGCGAAAGCCUGAUCCAGCAAUACCGCGUGUGUGAAGAAGGCCUUCGGGUUGUAAGGCACUUUAAGUUGGGAAGAAAAAGCUUCACCUAAUACGUGAAGCCUUGACGGUACCGACAGAAUAAGCACCGGCUAACUCUGUGCCAGCAGCCGCGGUAAUACAGAGGGUGCUAGCGUUAAUCGGAUUUACUGGGCGUAAAGCGUGCGUAGGUGGUUUGAUAAGUCGAUUGUGAAAGCCCCGGGCUUAACCUGGGAAUUGCGGUCGAUACUGUCAGACUCGAAAACGGUAGAGGGAGGUGGAACUCCCGGUGUAGCGGUGAAAUGCGUAGAUAUCUGGAAGAACACCGAUGGCGAAGGCAGCCUCCUGGGCCUGUUUUGACACUGAGGCACGAAAGCGUGGGUAGCAAACAGGAUUAGAUACCCUGGUAGUCCACGCCGUAAACGAUGAGAACUUGACGUUGGUUUGCUUAGCAAAUCGGUGUCGUAGCUAACGCGAUAAGUUCUCCGCCUGGGGAGUACGGCCGCAAGGUUG
Molecule: ribosomal RNA, 548 nt
Filed under: uncultured bacterium
Lineage: Bacteria
Description: bacterial SSU rRNA
Rfam family: Bacterial small subunit ribosomal RNA
Source: RNAcentral